RNAcentral lists this ribosomal RNA (414 nucleotides) under uncultured bacterium. Its description in RNAcentral is "bacterial SSU rRNA". It matches the Rfam family "Bacterial small subunit ribosomal RNA", at positions 32 to 426 of the family's 1533-position model. The record is from RNAcentral.
AAUCAACGCUGGCGGCGUGCCUCAGACAUGCAAGUCGAACGCGAAAGUCCCCUUCGGGGGACAAGUAGAGUGGCGCACGGGUGAGUAACACGUAGGUAAUCUACCUUCGGAUGGGGAAUAACAACCGGAAACGGUUGCUAAUACCGCAUAAUGCAGCGGCACCUAAUGGUGACAGUUGUUAAAGCGGGGGAUUGAAAGACCUCGCGUCUGAAGAGGAGCCUGCGGCGGAUUAGCUUGUUGGAGGGUAACGGCCUACCAAGGCGACGAUCCGUAGCCGGCCUGAGAGGGCGGUCGGCCACACUGACACUGACAUACGGGUCAGACUCCUACGGGAGGCAGCAGUCGGGAAUUUUGGGCAAUGGGCGAAAGCCUGACCCAGCAACGCCGCGUGAAGGAUGAAAUCCCUCGGGAUGU